UUCUUAUUGGAUGAUGACCGUCAGAUGUCAUUUUCUGAUUGGAUGUUAAUUCCGUGAAAGAUGAAAUGCAUUAUUGUUUUCAUUGACCAAUCAAAACAUGACACGUGACAGUUAUCAUCC
This is a non-coding RNA of Glycine soja, 120 nucleotides long. NCBI's taxonomy places the organism in Eukaryota, Viridiplantae, Streptophyta, Magnoliopsida, Fabales, Fabaceae. The record is from Rfam.